GAUGAACGCUGGCGGCGUGCUUAACACAUGCAAGUCGAACGGAGAAAGGGUAGCUUGCUAUCUUUUCUUAGUGGCGGACGGGUGAGUAACGCGUGGGUAACCUACCCUUUGCAGGGGGACAACAGUGAGAAAUCGCUGCUAAUACCGCAUAACAACUUCUUUCGCAUGAAAGGAGUUUAAAAGAUUUAUCGGCAAAGGAUGGACCCGCGUUGGAUUAGCUAGUUGGUGAGAUAACAGCCCACCAAGGCAACGAUCCAUAGCCGGCCUGAGAGGGUGAACGGCCACACUGGGACUGAGACACGGCCCAGACUCCUACGGGAGGCAGCAGUGGGGAAUAUUGCACAAUGGGCGAAAGCCUGAUGCAGCGACGCCGCGUGAAGGAUGAAGGUCUUCGGAUUGUAAACUUCUAUCAGCAGGGAAGAAAGGGCUUAUGGCCUAUGACGGUACCUGACUAAGAAGCCCCGGCUAACUACGUGCCAGCAGCCGGAACGUAACGUCGUCU
RNAcentral lists this ribosomal RNA (502 nucleotides) under uncultured bacterium. Its description in RNAcentral is "bacterial SSU rRNA". It matches the Rfam family "Bacterial small subunit ribosomal RNA", at positions 28 to 533 of the family's 1533-position model. The record is from RNAcentral.